CGUGCAUCGCCCAUGUGCUACGGUAAGGGUCUCACUCUAAGUGGGCUACACUAGUUAAUCUCCGCCUGGGGUUAAAUAGAAGAGCUUAAUCAGACUAGCUGAAUGGAAGCCUGUUACCGGGCCGAUGUUUAUGCGAAAUGCUAAUACGGUGACUACGCUCGUAGAUAUUUAAGUGCCGAUAUUUCUGGACGUGGGUUCGACUCCCACCAUCUCCAUAU
Molecule: transfer-messenger RNA, 218 nt
Filed under: Escherichia coli
Lineage: Bacteria; Pseudomonadati; Pseudomonadota; Gammaproteobacteria; Enterobacterales; Enterobacteriaceae
Description: partial transfer-messenger RNA
Rfam family: transfer-messenger RNA
About the family: Bacterial tmRNA, also known as 10Sa RNA or SsrA, is named for its dual tRNA and mRNA-like properties. Its role is to liberate the mRNA from a stalled ribosome. To accomplish this part of the tmRNA is used as a reading frame that ends in a translation stop signal.
Source: RNAcentral